GCGCUCGUGGCGGAAUUGGUAGACGCACUAGCUUGAGGUGCUAGCGGGUAACACCGUGGAGGUUCGAGUCCUCUCGAGCGCACCA
Molecule: transfer RNA, 85 nt
Filed under: Hyphomonadaceae bacterium
Lineage: Bacteria; Pseudomonadati; Pseudomonadota; Alphaproteobacteria; Hyphomonadales; Hyphomonadaceae
Also listed under: 1 other name
Description: tRNA-Leu
Rfam family: tRNA
About the family: Transfer RNA (tRNA) molecules are approximately 80 nucleotides in length. Their secondary structure includes four short double-helical elements and three loops (D, anti-codon, and T loops).
Source: RNAcentral